GUGAGUCAUCGAAUCUUUGAACGCACCUUGCGCUCUUUGGUAUUCCGAAGAGCAUGCUUGUUUGAGUGUCAUUAAAUUCUCAACCCAUCCAGCUUUAACAAGUUGGUAUGUGGCUUGGAUUAUGGGAGUUGUGCUGGCGUUGAUAAAAAGUCAGCUCUCCUGAAAUGCAUUAGCGGAACGGUUUGCGAUCUGUCACUGGUGUGAUAAUUAUCUACGCCAAAGACCAAGAACGCUCUCUGUCUGUUCAGCUUCUAAUGGUCCCAUCAUGCGGACAACCUUUUGAAUGUUUGACCUCAAAUCAAGUAGGACUACCCGCUGAACUUAAGCAUAUCAAUAAGCGGAGGA
Molecule: unclassified non-coding RNA, 345 nt
Filed under: Cystolepiota sp.
Lineage: Eukaryota; Fungi; Basidiomycota; Agaricomycetes; Agaricales; Agaricaceae
Description: partial contains 5.8S ribosomal RNA, internal transcribed spacer 2, and large subunit ribosomal RNA
Rfam family: 5.8S ribosomal RNA (bases 1-71)
Source: RNAcentral